UAGGGAAUCUUCCGCAAUGCACGUAAAGUCUGACGGAGCAAACGCCGCGUGAGUGAUGAAGGCUUUCGGUCUGUAAAAUCUCUGUUGCUCUAGGGAAGAACAAGUACGAGAGUAAGCUGGCUCGUACCUGGACGGUACCUGAACCAGUAAAGCACACGGCUAACUACGUGCCACGCAGCCACGCGGUAAUACAGUAGAUGGCCAAGCGUUAUCCGGAAUUAUUGGGCNUAAAGCGCGCGCAGUCGGUUUCUUAAGUCUGAUGUGAAAGCCCACGGCUUCAACCGUGGAGGGUCAUUGGAAACUGGGGAACUUUGAGUGCAGAAGAGACAAAGCGGAAUUCCAGCAGUGUACCGGUGAAAUGCGUUAGAGAUGUGGAGGAACACCAGUGGCGAAGCGGCUUUUUGGUCUGUCAACUGACGCUGAGGCGCGAAAGCGUGGGGAGCAAACAGGAUUAGAUACCCCUGGUAGUCCACGCCGUAAACGAUGAGUGCUAAGUGUUAGAGGGAUUUCCGCCCGUUUAGUGCUGCAGCUAACGCAUUAAGCACUC
Molecule: ribosomal RNA, 547 nt
Filed under: Bacillus sp. IPB1
Lineage: Bacteria; Bacillati; Bacillota; Bacilli; Caryophanales; Bacillaceae
Description: bacterial SSU rRNA
Rfam family: Bacterial small subunit ribosomal RNA
Source: RNAcentral